GACGAACGCUGGCGGCGUGCUUAACACAUGCAAGUCGAACGGAAAGGCCCUGCUUUUGUGGGGUGCUCGAGUGGCGAACGGGUGAGUAACACGUGAGUAACCUGCCCUUGACUUUGGGAUAACUUCAGGAAACUGGGGCUAAUACCGGAUAGGAGCUCCUGCUGCAUGGUGGGGGUUGGAAAGUUUCGGCGGUUGGGGAUGGACUCGCGGCUUAUCAGCUUGUUGGUGGGGUAGUGUCUUACCAAGGCUUUGACGGGUAGCCGGCCUGGUCGGGUGACCGGCCACAUUGGGACUGAAAUGCGGCCCAGACUCCUACGGGAGGCAGCAGUGGGGUAGAUUGCACAAUGGGCGGAAGCCUGAUGCAGCAACGCCGCGUGCGGGAUGACGGCCUGCGGGUUGUAAACCGCUUUCGCCUGUGACGAAGCGUGAGUGACGGUAAUGGGUAAAGAAGCACCGGCUAACUACGUG
Molecule: ribosomal RNA, 468 nt
Filed under: uncultured bacterium
Lineage: Bacteria
Description: partial 16S ribosomal RNA
Rfam family: Bacterial small subunit ribosomal RNA
Source: RNAcentral